GGUGGAUGCGCUGCUGGAUGGUUGUGUGCUAGACGCGCUGAGGAGUAGGCCACGUGGUCUGGACAUGGCGGUUCCCAGCGAGACAAACGGAGGGGACCUGAAGAGUCGGAGCAGUGCAGGAGGAUGAGACCCCAGGCGUACGCUGCGCUCAAACGUUCUGGCUAUACAUAAGGGCCGUCUCCGAUCCAUGAAGCUCAUCGUCUGGUAAGACGCACACUCCAAGGCGUCUGGUGCUGUGCUACAGAAAUAAAGGGUUCUGUACUUGCCCUUCAUUUGAAGAUUAGUAAAGUGGGGUUCAGCAGCUGACUCAACUGCAAAUCCGCUGUUGAGUGGACAUCUUUUGGUGCAGUCACGGACAAGACAUAUGUAUAAGGAUAAAACUUCUUUAUUAAUAGCUUUGACAACACGUUUCAGAGUCAUUGGGUGUCAGCCAGAGGAUGCGUCCGGAUGCUCUGAAUAUCUGGCUUCUCGGUGUGAUUGUGUCAAAAGAUGUCCACUCAACAGUGGUUUUGAAGCUGCUUCAGCUGCUGAACCCCACUUUGCUGCUACCUCGUGAAGGUUGGCUCCCAAGACAUCGGCAGCUGUGGCCUUUAGAGACCACUGGACGCCUACAGUGGUGGUCUGCCAACAAAAGGUAGUUUGGAAGUCUACAUGACCAGCUUGAGAAUAUGAACAAGUUGUCCGAAGAAUAUUUGUCCUAUAUGUUCAGUGGUUUUUUUUUGUUUUUUUUUUAAGUCUCAGAUAAUUUUAGAAUAUUUUGUAUUUUUAUACCAUCACAUUAAAGCAGUUUAAACCAA
Long non-coding RNA from Bufo bufo (common toad), 797 nucleotides. RefSeq lists it as uncharacterized. The record is from RefSeq and is a predicted model, not a curated record. NCBI's taxonomy places the organism in Eukaryota, Metazoa, Chordata, Amphibia, Anura, Bufonidae. The transcript has 4 exons.